CAGUCGAGCGAGCGGAACCACAGAUUUACUUCGGUAAUGACGUUGGGACAGCGAGCGGCGGAUGGGUGAGUAACACGUGGGGAACCUGCCCCUAAGUCUGGGAUACCAUUUGGAAACAGGUGCUAAUACCGGAUAAUAAAGCAGAUCGCAUGAUCAGCUUUUGAAAGGCGGCGUAAGCUGUCGCUAAGGGAUGGCCCCGCGGUGCAUUAGCUAGUUGGUAAGGUAACGGCUUACCAAGGCGACGAUGCAUAGCCGAGUUGAGAGACUGAUCGGCCACAUUGGGACUGAGACACGGCCCAAACUCCUACGGGAGGCAGCAGUAGGGAAUCUUCCACAAUGGACGCAAGUCUGAUGGAGCAACGCCGCGUGAGUGAAGAAGGUUUUCGGAUCGUAAAGCUCUGUUGUUGGUGAAGAAGGAUAGAGGUAGUAACUGGCCUUUAUUUGACGGUAAUCAACCAGAAAGUCACGGCUAACUACGUGCCAGCAGCCGCGGUAAUACGUAGGUGGCAAGCGUUGUCCGGAUUUAUUGGGCGUAAAGCGAGCGCAGGCGGAAAAAUAAGUCUAAUGUGAAAGCCCUCGGCUUAACCGAGGAACUGCAUCGGAAACUGUUUUUCUUGAGUGCAGAAGAGGAGAGUGGAACUCCAUGUGUAGCGGUGGAAUGCGUAGAUAUAUGGAAGAACACCAGUGGCGAAGGCGGCUCUCUGGUCUGCAACUGACGCUGAGGCUCGAAAGCAUGGGUAGCGAACAGGAUUAGAUACCCUGGUAGUCCAUGCCGUANACGAUGAGUGCUAAGUGUUGGGAGGUUUCCGCCUCUCAGUGCUGCAGCUAACGCAUUA
This 836-nucleotide ribosomal RNA is filed under the name uncultured bacterium. RNAcentral describes it as "bacterial SSU rRNA". It matches the Rfam family "Bacterial small subunit ribosomal RNA", at positions 59 to 862 of the family's 1533-position model. The record is from RNAcentral.